RNAcentral lists this ribosomal RNA (470 nucleotides) under uncultured bacterium. RNAcentral's name for it is "bacterial SSU rRNA". It matches the Rfam family "Bacterial small subunit ribosomal RNA", at positions 28 to 507 of the family's 1533-position model. The record is from RNAcentral.
GACGAACGCUGGCGGCGUGCUUAACACAUGCAAGUCGAACGAGACGAAUUAGAAGCUUGCUUUUGACGAGUCGAGUGGCAAACGGGUGAGUAACGCGUAGACAACCUGCCCUAGAGUGGGGGACAACAGUUGGAAACGACUGCUAAUACCGCAUAAGCCCACGGUACCGCAUGGUACUGAGGGAAAAGGAUUUAUUCGCUUUAAGAUGGACCCGCGGCGCAUUAGCUAGUUGGUGAGGUAACGGCUCACCAAGGCGACGAUGCGUAGCCGACCUGAGAGGGUGAUCGGCCACAUUGGAACUGAGACACGGUCCAGACUCCUACGGGAGGCAGCAGUGGGGAAUAUUGCACAAUGGGCGAAAGCCUGAUGCAGCAACGCCGCGUGGGUGAUGAAGGUUUUCGGAUCGUAAAGCCCUGUCUUUUGGGACGAUAAUGACGGUACCAAAGGAGGAAGCCACGGCUAACUACGUG